GCGAACGCUGGCGGCAGGCCUAACACAUGCAAGUCGAACGAACCUUUCGGGGUUAGUGGCGGACGGGUGAGUAACACGUGGGAACGUGCCUUUAGGUUCGGAAUAACUCAGGGAAACUUGUGCUAAUACCGAAUGUGCCCUUCGGGGGAAAGAUUAAUCGCCUUUAGAGCGGCCCGCGUCUGAUUAGCUAGUUGGUUGAGGUAAUGGCUCACCAAGGCGACGAUCAGUAGCUGGUCUGAGAGGAUGAUCAGCCACAUUGGGACUGAGACACGGCCCAAACUCCUACGGGAGGCAGCAGUGGGUAAUCUUGCGCAAUGGGCGAAAGCCUGACGCAGCCAUGCCGCGUGAAUGAUGAAGGUCUUAGGAUUGUAAAAUUCUUUCACCGGGGACGAUAAUGACGGUACCCGGAGAAGAAGCCCCGGCUAACUUCGUG
This 433-nucleotide ribosomal RNA is filed under the name uncultured bacterium. Its description in RNAcentral is "partial 16S ribosomal RNA". It matches the Rfam family "Bacterial small subunit ribosomal RNA", at positions 29 to 507 of the family's 1533-position model. The record is from RNAcentral.